Molecule: long non-coding RNA, 1618 nt
Filed under: Homo sapiens (human)
Lineage: Eukaryota; Metazoa; Chordata; Mammalia; Primates; Hominidae
Description: HSALNT0031097
Source: RNAcentral
CGCGUCCCCGCUCUCGGCUGCCGCUCGCUCGCCGCCCGCCAGCCCGCGCUCCCCCGCGGUCUCCUCUCCCUCUGUCGGUGUGCGAGCGAGUCUCCCUCCCUCUAAUGCAGGAAAUGCGCAAAAGACGUCAGUGUGUGUGAGUGUGUGUGUGUGAGUGUGUGUGUGUGCACGCGCGCGCGCGCACGGCAGUGUUUGGGGAAAUAGAAAGUUUUGCCGGUUGGGGGAGCAAUACGGAAAAAGUGAGCCGAGGAGACAACGGCUGCGAGAACUUGUUGACAAGUGAAAGCUCGGUAGAGCCCCGGCUUGGUUUGUGGUCUGCUUAUUUUUUGCAAAGUGACUGUUCCUGUUUGCGCUGGUCCUUAUCGGUGCCCCUUUGGGGGACUUCGGCACUGAUCAGCGCGCUGACAGCCGCCGUCCGGGCUGCGGGAAAAUGGGGCGCGCCCUCCGGGGGGCGAGUGGCUGUGUCCUUGCUAAUUUCCUCCGUAACCUUUAAACUCUCGCUGGAAGCUACCGCCGCGGCUGGUCACGUGAGGAGAGCCCUGGGCUGCUGGGGAAAAAUUUCCUCGGCUGGGAGCCGGGACCGGGCCGGCGGCCGGCGAGGGACUGCCCCGCGCCCGAGACUGGGAACCUGGGAGGGCAGGGCCGGAGCGCUGGGCCCCGGGGCGCGGCCCAGCUGGGACACCCGCGAAGACGGCGGCGGUGAAGAGGUCGGCUCCGCUGCCGGGGAGCUGGGGAUUAUGCAAAUGGGGAAAGAAAACCUCCGCCCUCGCCCUUCUGCCAAGUCAAGUCUGGGAAUUUGGCAUGUGAUGGAAGGCAGUGGCAAAUAUGGCUUGAUCUUCUGAAAAUGCAUUUGGGAAGCAGAGCCAGCACCAAAGUGAGAUGAGUGAGAUACUUUUCAGAGGCAAAAUGUAAAGGGUACCAAUAAACGUAAUCAAGAUAAAGAUUUAAUACAAUUUUUUAAAAAUAAAAAUGUGAGAAUCCAGAAUGGACACAAUAUCCACAUUUUAAAUAAUUUUAAAUAUUGCACUAAAAUAUUUAUACUACUGAGUUUAUUGGCACCUGUUAAAUUUUGUACCUGAGCCGAGUGCGUCACUCAUCUCACCCUAGUCCUGAUCCUGUUGGGAAGUCUGGAAAGUCAAGGAUUUCAUGGAGUUAGGGAUCCUUGACUAAUUGGUGCUUCAUAUGUUCUCAUUACUUGCUUUGGGUAAGUCUUGUACAGGCAGGAGCCACCAUGCCCAGCCCCCAAAUAUAUUAAAUAGGGUCUGUUACCAUCUCAGUGACUGUCUUAAAACAACCUACAAACUUCCAGCACCAUUUCCUAGCAUGCUGGCUCAGCAGACUGUUACUCCGUGUAAAUCACCAGACUGCAAUUCUCAAGGGCGACCAAUGCUUGUCUCCUUUCCAUUACAGCAACUCUUUUGGAGCAAGGGUAAUAAAAGACUUUGUCAAACAAAAUACAUGUUUUGUAUUGGAUUAAUGUUUACAUAAAAAGGGAGAAUGCUGGUAGUCUGCAUGCAAACACUGCUAGUUUCCUGCCCUUAUUACCUCCUUAUUUCUAAAUAAAUCUCUCGCCUUCCUACUCUCAAACUUGGCCAAAUGAAAAGUUGAAUUCCCCAGG